Long non-coding RNA from Oncorhynchus gorbuscha (pink salmon), 6431 nucleotides. RefSeq lists it as uncharacterized. The record is from RefSeq and is a predicted model, not a curated record. Lineage: Eukaryota; Metazoa; Chordata; Actinopteri; Salmoniformes; Salmonidae. The transcript is spliced from 2 exons.
AUCUAAUGUGCUUGUCUAGUGAUGGUUCUGUACUGUUGCUGCUCGUUUGGAAAACUUAGAAGAUAACAAAUAAUAGAUACAAAUGACGAACUUACUCACGAUACACUUCUGCCAGUCCUCAACCAGGCCCUGCGUGUUCUUCAGCUCCCCCUCCAGCUUCAUCUUCUCGUUGCCCAGAUCAUCAAGCUGUCUGCGCAGGUUGGAGAUGUAGGCCUCAAACAUGGCGUCGAUGUUGGAGCGGGUGGUGGUCUGGUCCUGCAGGAGGCUCCACUUGGUCUCCAGCAUCUUGUUCUGCUGCUCCAGGAAACGCACCUGCAGGGACAAAAGGGAAAUGGUCAGUGUCAUUGACUGAAACUUGUGAAUGACAGGAUGAAGGAAGGAAGGGAUGGCCGAGUGAGAGAGAAAGGAAGGGUGGAUGGAUGGAAGGCACAACCAAACAAAUGAAUGAAUGGUUGGAUUAAUUAAUGUAUGAAUUAAUGUGCAUAUAAUAUAAAUGAAUGGAUGGAGCAAACGUGUGAAUAUAUGUACAGACUAAAGAAUGGCCAACAAACAAAUGUGUCAUUGAAGCAGAGUACCGUGUUUCAGCACGAUGUGGCACUCUUUCUCAAUCAAAGUUACACAUAUGAUUCAUGUUGUUCCAAGUGUUUUUUGACCUCAUGCCCCUGGGUGGGGUUCCACUCAAACACAAGCAUGGAGGAGAGAACAGAGGAGGUGUGUAUCGCUAAGGUGUGGAGGAGGGGUCGAGGAGUGGUCAAAUGUUAAUCUGACGGUAAACAUAACUGAUUUAUGACAGUUAUGUUUUAUGACUGAUUUAUGACAGUUGUGUUUUUACGACUGCUUUAUGACAGUUAGAAAUUGAAUUAUUAGAUUCUUUACAAAUAAGGGACGCUUGAAGCAUGUAAUCACUGUAGUUGACAGUUGAUAAGCCAUGCAGGAAUGGGCUGAUUUUUCUGACAGUGAACCUGCCAUGUCCUGUUUGAGUGUGUGGGCCACAAUGGCACAUUGAGCAGAGAGGAUCCUGUGAACAAGAAAAUCUAUAGUAGCCUACAGAAUCUACAGACAACAAAGUGUCCCCAUAUAUUGUUUUGUGGAUUUAAGAGUCAGUAGCUAAUGCUAGAAGGGGUUUCCAAACAACAAACUCUGUAUUCAUACAACCAACCUCAUCUUGUGCCUCUGGCCCUAUUUCUGUCUCCACCCAUCUUUCCACUCUUUCUUUUACAGUAAAAGGGUCAGGGCAAGAGGGUUUUCAGUUGAUAACCAAGUUUGCAUUUCAUAUUCUUGCAUGCCUAAAUAGGGCCCAAUUAGGUCAUAUAAUCUAUUUCCAAAGUUUUGUUCACAAUGUACGUUCAGUUUUGUGCACAAUGUUUCACACAAUGGUUAUAGCUAACAUAAAAAAAAUCCUUAACAGAUAACCGAAAUCACAAGAGAAUCUGCCCCUUCCCAAAGGCCAAGUUAAUACAAACCAUACAUGGGUCAGGUAUUUCACUGUUCAAUGCUGUUAAAUACCUGAGGUGAGUUAGAUUUAGCUUGACCGCUGUGCAGAGUGGGCAGGGUUUGCACCUUCAGGACGACUCCAUUGGCCCCAUUGUACAAGACAAGCUAAGUCAAGCUCAGCUCCAGUGUGUGAAAGUACUUGGAAUGCACUAUGCAUUUGACUCUGGUGUGAUCGUAACUCAUGAGAAACUGACCUUAUCGAUGAAGGACACAAAGCGGUUGUUGAGGGUCUUGAUCUGCUCCUUCUCGUGGGUGCGGACCACCUGGAUGUUGGGGUCGAUCUCCAGGUUCAGGGGGGCCAGUAGGCUCUUGUUCACCUGAACAGCGGUGAUCUGAGGGGGUCCCACACAUGUCAUCUUCCCACCCACCACCCCCAUACCACCCCCCAUUCCCAUACCACCCCCCAUUCCCAUACCACCGCCAACACCCAUGCCCGCAUACCCAAACUCCAUCCCGCCCCCCCUUUGCCCAGUCCCUCCAGCCACGUACCCCCCAACUACCCUAUAGCCACCUGCUGCCACACCCCCGGCGCUGCUGCCAACACCCCCAUAAGAGCUGCGGACGCUGUAGCUCUGUUGUCUAGCUCCGCCGCCAUAGCCGUUGCUGGAGUUGCUGCUGAAGUUUUGAGACCCCAGGCCUGCAGAUGAGGACCUCAAAGAGUAGCUGGUGCUCUUCACAGCUCUGGUGGACAUGAUGACUUAGGUUUUAGCAAGUGCUACAGUAGGUGGUCUGUAGAGCCUGGGAGAUUCGCUGCAGAGAGAGAGAGACUCGUGCAGAUGGAGCUCACUGUUCCCUGGCCCUCUUUUUAUCUGGAAAGGGGAGGGACCGAGGGACAUUAUGAUUGGCUAGCAUGCAGUAGGGGAGCGCAGAAUGGGGGAAUGCUGGAGGUAAUAGAAUAUAAUAAUGUUACACAUUUAUAGCGCACAAAGUGAAUUUGAGAGAGUACAAAACUUACAUAACAGGGAUUGGAGCUGCUUUUCUUUAUUUGCAGAAUUAUGUGCUAUCAUAAUGAUAUUCUGACUAUUCGUAUCAUAAUGUAUUUAUGUUAGAGUCUUAAUGCAGUUGACCAGUGCAGAAUGCAUUCUUUGCAUCAUGAGAAACCUCUUCAAAAUUCCUAAUGAAUUGUACAAAAACAAAGUCCAAUUCUGGGAAUGGGCUCUUGUUAGAUGAUUGCUAUUGAACUUGGUGCUCAGCAUCAUCAUUAACAGUUUGUCACCAUUAACAAUGUACCUUGCUGCAGCAGGCAUUUUGCGUGUGAAAAAAGUAACUUUCUAAUACCCAGAACUGUAUUAGUGAGCUAACAUACAGUAUAUAGUGCAAAGAUAUUCCAUGAGUAAUAUUCUCCCAAAAUCAAGAGGCAUAUUUCAAUAUGACCAAUGAGCAGCCAAGGAAUCUUACACAGACAGACUGCACUUGUAAGCCAGGCCUUCUAUACACCCCCUUUUCCCCUGAACCACGAAAAGCAGUCCAUGACCCGUAUUCAUAAAGUGUCCCAGAGUAGGAAUGCCUUUUAGAUUAUAAUGAAUAAAGAUUAUAUGGACAGGUGUGAUCUGACCCUAGAUCAGCACUCAUUUUAUAGAUACUGGCCAGACAUCUGUACCUGGAAGUCAGAUCCUGUACAAGUUGUCGUUCUUGUACCUGACAAUUUCUUUAAAGUACGGUAUAUACUGUAUCUUUACCUCCGGGCUUCACUUCUUCUAGUGUUGACACUGUGAUUGACUAGAAUAAGACACACACUGUACUUCAAUGGAAAUAAUGUGAUUCGGUUGACUAAUAGUUAGCCGUUAGAGUAGCGGUGUCGACUGUUGACCCAGACAUGAAGCAUGUGUGUGGACGUGGCUGUGUAGGUGUUUUACAGGCUUGUUGCUAAGUAACACAUGUUAACCCAUGGGAAAGGCUUAUCAGAAUUGAACUGCUGGGUUGAAGAGAUAAAUAAUGGCUGUCAAUGCAAUGAACUCAAUAACUCACCCCAAUGAAGUCAGUUGGGGGGAAAUUAUAUAGUAUUUACUUUUUCAUUUAAUUUGUUUGAGUCAUUUUGACUGAUCUGAUCGAGUAGUAAAUCAGCAUUGUUCACUUUAUCCCAAGUAUUGGAAACUUUAACUCCAUUUGUAAACAGUCCCAAAGUUGCACUGUGAAGAGCUUACACCAUUGGAGCCUUAUCUGGCUCACACAUGACCAUAUUUGUCAAAGUGACCAGUGACCUAUUGUUCAACACAUUCAUCACUAAACAAACAAAAACAGCUGUAUUUCUCUAAUCUUAUCGACCUUAAUAACUGACAUAUAUGGGAUAAAAUCUCUCUGGUCCUCUGGGUGAGAAAACACUGCGUUUCUCAUCUAUUGUCAGAGACCUGAAGUCAUUUAAGAGACACCCUUUUGACAUCUGACUCUCUCGCCCCGCAGCCUCCAGAGACGAGAGAUGUUUUGGUUUGUGUGCGUUCGGUCUUCAAAAUGCGACACAUAAAGAUUGGAAUGUGCGGAGAUAAACACGUACAUGCGACGAGCGGGUGAGGGUUGGAGGGGCAGAAGACGACGAUUAGCCGCUGAGAAGAAACAGACCCUCUUUAGAAAAGAGAGAGGUUGACCUCGAGUUGUAUGGGGCUGCUGUUCCCAAUAAUCCUAAGGGCGUGGCGAUAUGGGUUGCAUAAUUGCGCUACAGGCAUCUUCCUGCCACCUACAUCUGUGUCUGAAGUUUAGUCAACACUCGGGCAACGAUUUUAGCAUCCCAUAAAAACAAUUGGACGGGUCCAAGUACGCCUGCCCGUUUGCACCUAGACUGCCACACCCUCUUCAGUUAUGCCGGAUUGGAGUUGCAUGGCUUGAGGCUGGGUCCCCCUAGUGCUCAUUAGGAGUGGACUGUAAUGUGUACGUAAACCACUGUGCAGUUUUUUUUGCCUUGUGAUGAAUCAUAAAUGCAAUAAUGUCAUGCUUUUUGAAUAGGAAAACAAGACCCUUUUCCCAAUGGGAUUCAAUAAAGGUAAGUAAGUAGGUAGUAACUAACGAACUAACUAACUAACUAACUAAGCUUUAUUUUGCAGUCCCUGGUGUGUGAAUGUGUGUGCGUGAAUACUUUCUUAAUUUUCCUAUGCAAGGAUCCUAAUAGAAAAGAGGUGUCAUUCAAAUAACCUUUAUUGUCAUAUUUCUAAAGUAUUUUUUACUAUAUAUUCCUAUGUUCCUAAAGAGUGUGAAGGCUGCAUUUUCAGUGGAAUUGUAUAGACUCAUGAACUGUAAGUCUACAGGGAACAUGUCAAAGGGAUAGUUAUCGGUUUCCUUACCUCGUAAGCCAGGGUUUCCCAACUGGCGGCCCACAGGCUAAAUUUGGCCCAGGAGUGGUUUCAUUUGGCUCCCCAAGUUUUCUGAGCGAAAAAAAGUACAAUAUUAAUUUUCAUUUAUGGACAUUAAGGAAAUCAGAUCCAAGGGAUAUUAAUUUAAGAAAUAUGUUCCCAAUAUUCCCACAUAUAAUAAGAGACACGUGAUCAUAUACAAAUGUAAGCAAGGUUUGAAAUUAUCAUGUUUUAGUCAAACAUAUCUACUUAGGCUUCUUGCGGUAAAUUUGUAGUUUACAAAUGAUUGGUAAUUAUGUUCCGGCCAGCCGACCAUCUGCUCAACAAAGAAUCAACACUCGGAUGAAUCUAGUUGAUGAUCCCUGCUGUAAGCAGUCAAAUAUAAGAUAUUGACUUGCAUUGGUUUUGGUCCACAAAUGCUAAAAGGUUCAACCAAAUCCAAGCAUGAUUGAUGUCAUACGUUGCCCAUAAACUGCUUAUUGGGGAAGGAAACCAUUAUGCAAAUUUGUAUUUGGGUGAACUAUCCCUUUAAGAGACUAUUGUGGUGAUUGACUGCAUUUUCAGUAGAGGGUUUGUGUAUUCAUUGUUAUGUACGUGUCCGUGUUAAAAAGGAGCAUAUUAAUUAAGAGGCCAUGUUGCUGACUAUGCAUUUUCAGUGGUCUGUUACUGUAUUUGUGGACAUGUGUAAAAAGGGAACACACUGGCACUAAGACUCUAAAGAUGGACAUGACAACUCUGAGAGAAAAUGGCCCGUAACUGUCACAUUUCACUCGUGUCUGAUGAGCGACCUUCACAGACCCACAUGGCCACACCUUGCUCGUAAAACUGGAAUUCCCACGGAGAUAUAAGAAUGUAAGCAGGACAUCCAAUAAUGUUCAGGGUCCCAGGGUGUCCAAGGUCUUUAUCUAAGACUCAAACUCCUAAUUUGCUAUAAAGAGAUCAAGAUCCACCCUCCCUUUUCUUACCCUUGCUCCUCAUUUUUUUCCUCCCCCUGGCACAACUCCCAAGUCAUGGGAUUGAGUGAGUAAGUGCCCUACUGACAUAUGACGUUGGCACAACGUUGUAGCACUGCAAUUGUCUUAGCUAGGUAAGCACUCACAGGUUCAGGGGUAACAGAGUGGAAAGUGAGUAAAAAAAGAGGAGAAGAGGAGAAUAAACAAGUAAAAGUUCAUCUGAGAAAGAUCAAGCUGGGAGCUUUCAUUCUCUGACUGUUGUCCAGAAUCCCUGAAGCACAUAAGCUCCUGUUGAGUUUCCCAGAAUCCUGCUGUUAUUGGUAUGAGUCAGAGUCUCAAGUUUCUCAUCAAUUUUUUUUCUCUCUCUCUUUCCCUCUCUCCCCGUUGGCCUCCCUGGACUGACGGUCUCCAGAGCUACUCAGGCCUGGAUUUCUGCACAUGCAGCAGUUUGAAGUGAUUGUACCCUCCGGAAUCAACGUUUGUCAGAUGAGUUCAAAAGAGGUCAAAUGUUGAGUGAGAUAAGUCCACGUCCGAUGCCAUACGUUUUGUAGAUCUACCUGGUAGAAGAUGUAAUAGUAAGUUUGCAGUAUAAAAACUAUUUUACUAUAUUGUUUGGAGAGAAAAAAUGACCACUGCACAAAUACCACUGUGUUGGCACUUGUGAAUUGAGCACUUGAAGUUUAUUAAAGUAAUAUCAAAUGUA